UACGGAGGGUCCAAGCGUUACUCGGAAUUACUGGGCGUAAAGCGCAUGUAGGCGGUUUGGUAAGUUUGAUGUGAAAGCCCGGGACUCAAUCUCGGAAGUGCAUCGAAUACUGCCAGACUAGAGUGUAGGAGAGGUAAGCGGAAUUCCAGGUGUAGAGGUGAAAUUCGUAGAUAUCAGGAGGAAUACCGGAGGCGAAGGCGGGUAACUGGCCAGACACUGACACUCAGACCCGAAAGCGUGGGGAUCAAACAGG
This 253-nucleotide ribosomal RNA is filed under the name uncultured bacterium. RNAcentral describes it as "partial 16S ribosomal RNA". It matches the Rfam family "Bacterial small subunit ribosomal RNA", at positions 524 to 776 of the family's 1533-position model. The record is from RNAcentral.